This 82-nucleotide transfer RNA is filed under the name Caudoviricetes sp. Its description in RNAcentral is "tRNA-Pro". Lineage: Duplodnaviria; Heunggongvirae; Uroviricota; Caudoviricetes. The record is from RNAcentral.
GUUAGUAGUCAGCUAUUAGCAAGAGAAUCAAUGUCCGCUUUGGGAGCAGGGGGUCGUGGGUUCGAAUCCCGCUACCCCGACA